UGUGGGAGCGGGCUUGCCCGCGAUGACGGCCCGACAUUCAACAUCUGUUUUGGAGCUGAUGGCCCUAUCGCGGGCAAGCCCGCUCCCACA
This 90-nucleotide unclassified non-coding RNA is filed under the name Pseudomonas lini. Lineage: Bacteria; Pseudomonadati; Pseudomonadota; Gammaproteobacteria; Pseudomonadales; Pseudomonadaceae. The record is from RNAcentral.